This 254-nucleotide ribosomal RNA is filed under the name uncultured bacterium. Its description in RNAcentral is "partial 16S ribosomal RNA". It matches the Rfam family "Bacterial small subunit ribosomal RNA", at positions 524 to 776 of the family's 1533-position model. The record is from RNAcentral.
GACGGAGGGGGCGAGCGUUGUUCGGAAUUAUUGGGCGUAAAGGGCUCGUAGGCGGAUCCGCCAGUCUGACGUGCAAUCUCCACCGCUCACCGGGGAGGGGCCGUUGGAUACUACGGAUCUGGAGUUCGGCAGAGGACCAUGGAAUUCCGGGUGUAGCGGUGGAAUGCGUAGAGAUCCGGAAGAACACCGGUGGCGAAGGCGGCCUGCUGGGCAGUGGCUGACGCUGAGGCGCGACAGCGUGGGGAGCAAACAGG